RNAcentral lists this ribosomal RNA (496 nucleotides) under uncultured bacterium. RNAcentral's name for it is "partial 16S ribosomal RNA". It matches the Rfam family "Bacterial small subunit ribosomal RNA", at positions 28 to 506 of the family's 1533-position model. The record is from RNAcentral.
GAUGAACGCUGGCGGCGUGCCUAAUACAUGCAAGUCGAGCGAACAGACGAGGAGCUUGCUCCUCUGACGUUAGCGGCGGACGGGUGAGUAACACGUGGAUAACCUACCUAUAAGACUGGGAUAACUUCGGGAAACCGGAGCUAAUACCGGAUAAUAUAUUGAACCGCAUGGUUCAAUAGUGAAAGACGGUUUUGCUGUCACUUAUAGAUGGAUCCGCGCCGCAUUAGCUAGUUGGUAAGGUAACGGCUUACCAAGGCGACGAUGCGUAGCCGACCUGAGAGGGUGAUCGGCCACACUGGAACUGAGACACGGUCCAGACUCCUACGGGAGGCAGCAGUAGGGAAUCUUCCGCAAUGGGCGAAAGCCUGACGGAGCAACGCCGCGUGAGUGAUGAAGGUCUUCGGAUCGUAAAACUCUGUUAUUAGGGAAGAACAAAUGUGUAAGUAACUAUGCACGUCUUGACGGUACCGAAGCAGAAAGCCACGGCUAACUACGU